AAAGCGAUUGCCUUAGUAGCGGCGAGCGAAACGGCAAGAGGGCAAACCGAAGAGUUUACUCUUCGGGGUUGUAGGACUGCAACGUGGACUUAAAGAUUAUAGAAGAACUACCUGGGAAGGUAGGCCAAAGAGAGUAAUAGCCUCGUAUUCGAAAUAGUCUUUAUACCUAGCAGUAUCCUGAGUACGGCGAGACACGAGAAAUC
Molecule: ribosomal RNA, 203 nt
Filed under: Streptococcus salivarius
Lineage: Bacteria; Bacillati; Bacillota; Bacilli; Lactobacillales; Streptococcaceae
Description: partial 23S ribosomal RNA
Rfam family: Bacterial large subunit ribosomal RNA
Source: RNAcentral